RNAcentral lists this long non-coding RNA (314 nucleotides) under Physcomitrium patens. RNAcentral's name for it is "long non-coding RNA (PPAT_LNC006356)". The record is from RNAcentral. Lineage: Eukaryota; Viridiplantae; Streptophyta; Bryopsida; Funariales; Funariaceae.
CUCAAAGAUAAAAAGCAGUCAGUAAAUAUAAAUAUAUAUAUAUAUAUAUAUAUAUAUUUGAAUAAAAGCCCACAAAAUAUGUAACACAAAACACUAUACAUCAAAAAACCCAUGCCAUGCAACAUGCUAGUGAUUGAAUCUAACCACGAUUUCCUUGCUCAUUCCAUUGCUUCAACCCAAAUCCACCAUGCAAAGCUUCAAAGCGUAACGAGAAGCAUGUGAAUUUCAUCCAUCGGAUGUGUAACCAACUCCACAUCCGCAUCAUUCAUCCAUAUACGAGACUCAUCCUGGAACGAUGAACGUCGUACAUCCAU